Molecule: ribosomal RNA, 443 nt
Filed under: uncultured bacterium
Lineage: Bacteria
Description: partial 16S ribosomal RNA
Rfam family: Bacterial small subunit ribosomal RNA
Source: RNAcentral
CCUACGGGAGGCAGCAGUGGGGAAUAUUGGUCAAUGGGCGCAAGCCUGACCCAGCAACGCCGCGUGAAGGAAGAAGGCUUUCGGGUUGUAAACUUCUUUUCUGAGGGACGAAGAAAGUGACGGUACCUCAGGAAUCAGCCACUGCUAACUACGUGCCAGCAGCCGCGGUAAUACGUAGGGGGCAAGCGUUAUCCGGAAUUAUUGGGUGUAAAGGGCGUGUAGGCGGGAAAGCAAGUCAGACGUGAAAACUCAGGGCUCAACCCUGAGCCUGCAUUUGAAACUGUUUUUCUUGAGUGCUGGAGAGGUAAUCGGAAUUCCGUGUGUAGCGGUGAAAUGCGUAGAUAUACGGAGGAACACCAGUGGCGAAGGCGGAUUGCUGGACAGUAACUGACGCUGAGGCGCGAAAGCGUGGGGAGCAAACAGGAUUAGAUACCCCUGUAGUC